GAUGAACGCUGGCGGCGUGCCUAAUACAUGCAAGUCGAGCGAACAGACGAGGAGCUUGCUCCUCUGACGUUAGCGGCGGACGGGUGAGUAACACGUGGAUAACCUACCUAUAAGACUGGGAUAACUUCGGGAAACCGGAGCUAAUACCGGAUAAUAUAUUGAACCGCAUGGUUCAAUAGUGAAAGACGGUUUUGCUGUCACAUAUAGAUGGAUCCGCGCCGCAUUAGCUAGUUGGUAAGGUAACGGCUUACCAAGGCAACGAUGCGUAGCCGACCUGAGAGGGUGAUAGGCCACACUGGAACUGCGACACGGUCCAGACUCCUACGGGAGGCAGCAGUAGGGAAUCUUGCGCCAUGGGCGAAAGCCUGACGGAGCAACGCCGCGUCAGUGAUGAAGGUCUUCGGAUCGUAAAACUCGGUUAUUAGGGAAGAACAAAUGUGUAAGUAACUAUGCACGUCUUGACGGUACCUAAUCGGAAAGCCACGGCUAACUACGUG
RNAcentral lists this ribosomal RNA (497 nucleotides) under uncultured bacterium. RNAcentral describes it as "partial 16S ribosomal RNA". It matches the Rfam family "Bacterial small subunit ribosomal RNA", at positions 28 to 507 of the family's 1533-position model. The record is from RNAcentral.